AGUGAACGCUGGCGGUAGGCCUAACACAUGCGAGUCGAACGGCAGCACAGUAAGAGCUUGCUCUUACGGGUGGCGAGUGGCGGACGGGUGAGGAAUACAUCGGAAUCUACUUUUUCGUGGGGGAUAACGUAGGGAAACUUACGCUAAUACCGCAUACGACAUACGGGUGAAAGCAGGGGAUCUUCGGACCUUGCGCGAUUGAAUGAGCCGAUGUCGGAUUAGCUAGUUGGCGGGGUAAAGGCCCACCAAGGCGACGAUCCGUAGCUGGUCUGAGAGGAUGAUCAGCCACACUGGAACUGAGACACGGUCCAGACUCCUACGGGAGGCAGCAGUGGGGAAUAUUGGACAAUGGGCGCAAGCCUGAUCCAGCCAUACCGCGUGGGUGAAGAAGGCCUUCGGGUUGUAAAGCCCUUUUGUUGGGAAGGAAAAGCAGCAGGUUAAUACCCCGCUGUUCUGACGGUACCCAAAGAAUAAGCACCGGCUAACUUCGUG
RNAcentral lists this ribosomal RNA (492 nucleotides) under uncultured bacterium. Its description in RNAcentral is "partial 16S ribosomal RNA". It matches the Rfam family "Bacterial small subunit ribosomal RNA", at positions 29 to 507 of the family's 1533-position model. The record is from RNAcentral.